UAAGGAAUAUUGGUCAAUGGGCGAGAGCCUGAACCAGCCAUGUCGCGUGCAGGAAGACGGCCUUAUGGGUUGUAAACUGCUUUUAUCGGGGAAUAAACCUAUCUACGUGUAGAUAGCUGAAGGUACCCGAAGAAUAAGCAUCGGCUAACUCCGUGCCAGCAGACGCGGUAAUACGGAGGAUGCAAGCGUUAUCCGGAUUAAUUGGGUUUACAGGGUGCGCAGGCGGAUUGGUAAGGCAGUGGUGAAAUUCAACGGCUCAACUGUUGAUCUGCCAUUGAUACUGUCAGUCUAGAGUAUAGUUGGAGUGGGCGGAAGGUGUCAUGUAGCGGUGAAAUGCUUAGAUAUGACACAGAACACCGAUCGCGAAGGCAGCUCACUAAGCUAAAACUGACGCUCAUGCACGAAAGCGUGGGGAUCAAACA
Molecule: ribosomal RNA, 422 nt
Filed under: uncultured prokaryote
Description: bacterial SSU rRNA
Rfam family: Bacterial small subunit ribosomal RNA
Source: RNAcentral